UGGGGAAUUUUGGACAAUGGGCGAAAGCCUGAUCCAGCAAUGCCGCGUGUGCGAAGAAGGCCUUCGGGUUGUAAAGCACUUUUGUCCGGAAAGAAAUCCUUGGCUCUAAUACAGUCGGGGGAUGACGGUACCGGAAGAAUAAGCACCGGCUAACUACGUGCCAGCAGCCGCGGUAAUACGUAGGGUGCAAGCGUUAAUCGGAAUUACUGGGCGUAAAGCGUGCGCAGGCGGUUUGCUAAGACCGAUGUGAAAUCCCCGGGCUCAACCUGGGAACUGCAUUGGUGACUGGCAGGCUAGAGUAUGGCAGAGGGGGGUAGAAUUCCACGUGUAGCAGUGAAAUGCGUAGAGAUGUGGAGGAAUACCGAUGGCGAAGGCAGCCCCCUGGGCCAAUACUGACGCUCAUGCACGAAAGCGUGGGGAGCAAACAGGAUUAGAUACCCUGGUAGUCCACGCCCUAAACGAUGUCAACUAGUUGUUGGGGACUUCAUUUCCUUAGUAACGUAGCUAACGCGUGAAGUUGACCGCCUGGGGAGUACGGUCGCAAGAUUAAAACUCAAAGGAAUUGACGGGGUCAUAGCUGUUUCCU
Molecule: ribosomal RNA, 586 nt
Filed under: uncultured bacterium
Lineage: Bacteria
Description: partial 16S ribosomal RNA
Rfam family: Bacterial small subunit ribosomal RNA
Source: RNAcentral